RNAcentral lists this ribosomal RNA (425 nucleotides) under uncultured bacterium. RNAcentral's name for it is "bacterial SSU rRNA". It matches the Rfam family "Bacterial small subunit ribosomal RNA", at positions 359 to 776 of the family's 1533-position model. The record is from RNAcentral.
GAAUCUUGGGCAAUGGGGGAAACCCUGACCCAGCGACGCCGCGUGGGGGAUGAAGGCCUUCGGGUCGUAAACCCCUGUUAGGUGGGACGAACGUUUUCCGGUAAAUAGCCGGGAAACCUGACGGUACCACCAGAGAAAGCCCCGGCUAACUCCGUGCCAGCAGCCGCGGUAAUACGGAGGGGGCGAGUGUUGUUCGGAAUUACUGGGCGUAAAGGGCGCGCAGGCGGCUUGGCAAGUCGAGUGUGAAAUCCCUUGGCUUAACUGAGGAAUAGCGCUCGAAACUACCUCGCUGGAGGGCGGGAGAGGGAAGUGGAACUCUCGGUGUAGGGGUGAAAUCUGUAGAUAUCGAGAGGAACACCGGUGGCGAAGGCGGCUUCCUGGCCCGUACCUGACGCUGAGGCGCGAAAGCGUGGGGAGCAAACAGG